GUUGUUCAAAGCUGGGGGUAGAGGUGAACAGAGGAAUGACACCUGAGAUGCACAAAGAGGAAUCCUGAACAGUUUGAAUCCAACUCCAUUUCUGUUCUGAAAUUUUAAGCAAUGCCAGUUUAAAUUCCACCUCAGCAGGAGACAAAAUGAAGGUGAAACAGUCUGUGCUAUAUCCUUACACACUCAUCUAAAUACCUAUAUAGGAAAUAAAUUUAAAGGUUCACCAUGGCACAAAUGUAGUGUUCUCAUUUUCUAAACUGAAAUUAGAUCCUUCACAUAACACAGCCCUUGGUUCCUGUUUCUUUGUCCCUCUUCCAUAACUGGAUGCUAAUAUAUUCAACCUGAAUAUAAACUAACUGCUGUAGCAUUCCAGCACAGAUUGUGUUUACCCAGCUCUCAUUAAAAUGUGGAUUUAUA
Neopelma chrysocephalum (saffron-crested tyrant-manakin) is the source of this 417-nucleotide long non-coding RNA. RefSeq lists it as uncharacterized. NCBI's taxonomy places the organism in Eukaryota, Metazoa, Chordata, Aves, Passeriformes, Pipridae. The transcript has 2 exons. The record is from RefSeq and is a predicted model, not a curated record.